RNAcentral lists this transfer RNA (75 nucleotides) under Candidatus Berkelbacteria bacterium. RNAcentral's name for it is "tRNA-Ile". It matches the Rfam family "tRNA". Rfam says of the family: Transfer RNA (tRNA) molecules are approximately 80 nucleotides in length. Their secondary structure includes four short double-helical elements and three loops (D, anti-codon, and T loops). The record is from RNAcentral. Lineage: Bacteria; Candidatus Berkelbacteria.
CGGCCCGUAGCUCAGCGGUAGAGCGGCGCUCUUAUAAGGCGUAUGUCACAGGUUCGAAUCCUGUCGGGCCGACCA